RNAcentral lists this ribosomal RNA (237 nucleotides) under uncultured bacterium. RNAcentral describes it as "partial 16S ribosomal RNA". It matches the Rfam family "Bacterial small subunit ribosomal RNA", at positions 100 to 334 of the family's 1533-position model. The record is from RNAcentral.
CCGGCACGGGUGAGUAACACGUAUCCAACCUGCCGUCUACUCUUGGACAGCCUUCUGAAAGGAAGAUUAAUACAAGAUGGCAUCAUGAGUCCGCAUGUUCACAUGAUUAAAGGUAUUCCGGUAGACGAUGGGGAUGCGUUCCGUUAGAUAGUAGGCGGGGUAACGGCCCACCUAGUCAACGAUGGAUAGGGGUUCUGAGAGGAAGGUCCCCCACAUUGGAACUGAGACACGGUCCAA